This 205-nucleotide long non-coding RNA is filed under the name Mytilus galloprovincialis (Mediterranean mussel). Lineage: Eukaryota; Metazoa; Mollusca; Bivalvia; Mytilida; Mytilidae. The record is from RNAcentral.
CCGAGAUUUAAAAUUGUCUAGAAGUUCUUUAGAAUUUUUUAAGAAUCCACAUAUGGUUAAUACCACUACGCGAGUAAACAGUUUCACAGUAUUUCUGAAGACCCUCUUUCACUGCGGACAGAAUUUUAGUCAAUCUAAUGGACAAUUCUUUAGUAGAACAUGAAGAUGAGCCAGCAAUAUACCGUUGUUUGUACGGAAUUUUAUG